This 253-nucleotide ribosomal RNA is filed under the name uncultured bacterium. Its description in RNAcentral is "partial 16S ribosomal RNA". It matches the Rfam family "Bacterial small subunit ribosomal RNA", at positions 524 to 776 of the family's 1533-position model. The record is from RNAcentral.
UACGGAGGGUGCAAGCGUUAUCCGGAUUCACUGGGUUUAAAGGGUGCGUAGGUGGGCAGGUAAGUCAGUGGUGAAAUCUCCGGGCUUAACCCGGAAACUGCCAUUGAUACUAUCAGUCUUGAAUACCGUGGAGGUAAGCGGAAUAUGUCAUGUAGCGGUGAAAUGCUUAGAUAUGACAUAGAACACCAAUUGCGAAGGCAGCUUACUACAGGAACAUUGACACUGAGGCACGAAAGCGUGGGGAUCAAACAGG